Molecule: small nuclear RNA, 107 nt
Filed under: Propithecus coquereli (Coquerel's sifaka)
Lineage: Eukaryota; Metazoa; Chordata; Mammalia; Primates; Indriidae
Source: RNAcentral
GUGCUUACUUCGGCAGCACAUAUACUAAAAUUGGAAUGAUACAGAAAAGAUUAGCAUGGCCACUGCGCAAGGAUGACAUGCAAAUUCGUGAAGCGAAAGAAAUAAAA